CCUACGGGCGGCAGCAGUGGGGGAUAUUGCACAAUGGGGGGAACCCUGCUGCAGCGACGCCGCGUGGGUGAAGAAGCGCCUCGGCGCGUAAAGCCCUGUCAGCAGGGAAGAAACUGACGGUAACUGAAGAAGAAGCCCCGGCUGAGUCCGUGCCAGCAUCCGCGGUAAUACGUAGGGGGCAAGCGUUAGCCGGAUGUACUGGGUGUAAGGGGGGCGCAGACGGCGAUGCAAGCCAGGAGUGAAAGCCCGGGGCCCAACCCCGGGCCUGCUCGUGGAACUGCGUGGCUGGAGUGCAGGAGGGGCAGGCGGAAUUCCUGGUGUAGCGGUGAAAUGCGUAGAUAUCAGGAGGAACACCGGUGGCGAAGGCGGCCUGCUGGACUGCAACUGACGUUGAGGCCCGAAAGCGUGGGGAGCAAACAGGAUUAGAUACCCGUGUAGUC
Molecule: ribosomal RNA, 440 nt
Filed under: uncultured bacterium
Lineage: Bacteria
Description: partial 16S ribosomal RNA
Rfam family: Bacterial small subunit ribosomal RNA
Source: RNAcentral